UACGUAGGGGGCAAGCGUUGUCCGGAUUCAUUGGGCGUAAAGAGCGUGUAGGCGGCCAGGUAGGUCGGUUGUGAAAACUGGAGGCUCAACCUUCAGAGGUCGACCGAAACCAUCUGGCUAGAGUCCGGGGGAGGAGAGUGGAAUUCCUGGUGUAGCGGUGAAAUGCGCAGAUAUCAGGAAGAACACCCGUGGCGAAGGCGGUUCUCUGGGACGGUACUGACGCUGAGACGCGAAAGCGUGGGGAGCGAACAGG
RNAcentral lists this ribosomal RNA (253 nucleotides) under uncultured bacterium. RNAcentral's name for it is "partial 16S ribosomal RNA". It matches the Rfam family "Bacterial small subunit ribosomal RNA", at positions 524 to 776 of the family's 1533-position model. The record is from RNAcentral.